GACAGUUUUGCCCUGAGUAGACCUUGGAGUCGGGUUGUUUGUGAAUGCAGCCCAAAGCGGGUGGUAAACUCCAUCCAAGGCUAAAUACUAGCACGAGUCCGAUAGCGAACAAGUACCGUGAGGGAAAGUUGAAAAGUACUUUGAAGAGAGAGUAAACAGUGCGUGAAACCGCUCAGAGGUAAACGGGUGGAGUUGAACUGUAAGCUCCGGGGAUUCAGCUGGUGAGUGUGUCAUGGGCUUGGUCAUUUUCGGCCGGCCUCUAGAGUCCGCUUAGCUGCGGGUUCCUGCUUCUUCGGGAGUAGGGAUGUGCGUUGCGCUUGUCAAGUGCUGUGCGCUCUGGAGGUUGCCGGGCUGGCUCGCCGGUGCACUUUCUCGGAGUGGUCACCACGACCGGCGUUGUUGUCUUACUGCUGUAGUCAAACCGGUCAGGUUUGGUCCUUGUGGCUGAGCUUGAUCGGGAUGGCAGGUAGCUCAUUGGUUGGCUCGUCCAGUCUUUGGGUGUAAUCAGCUGACUGCAGUGGUUCUGUGCAAUACGUCGGAGACGGCGGCUCGAGGUAUUUGCUUAUGUGCCGUUGGCUGGCAGUGUCGGGUUUGACUGGCGUGUUUACCUGCUUCGGUGGGUCCGUUGGUAGUCCGGUGCUGUUCGGUUGGCGGUUGCAUUUGUGAUACCGCUCAUGGGCCCAUAGUCUGUGGUGUAGCAGCAAACGAUCCACCUGACCCGUCUUGAAACACGGACCAAGGAGUUUAACAUGUGCGCGAGUCAUUGGGCGUUACGAAACCCAAAGGCGCAGUGAAAGUGAAGGUUCGGCUUGUCCGAGCUGUGGUGAGAUCCUGUGGCUUCUCGUGCGAGGUACCACCAAGCAUUUGAGCUAUAGGCGCAUCACCAGCCCGUCUCAUGGUGUAGUCAUGUAACCUCGUGUUGUGUGCAUCACCGGGGCGGAGCCUGAGCGCACAUGUUGAGACCCGAAAGAUGGU
RNAcentral lists this ribosomal RNA (975 nucleotides) under Alaria marcianae. RNAcentral describes it as "eukaryotic LSU rRNA". It matches the Rfam family "Eukaryotic large subunit ribosomal RNA", at positions 236 to 827 of the family's 3401-position model. The record is from RNAcentral. Lineage: Eukaryota; Metazoa; Platyhelminthes; Trematoda; Diplostomida; Diplostomidae.